GGCCAAAAUAGAAAAGAUCAAAGAGGAAAAAAUUGAUCCAAGGAUACUGCUGCAAAAAAGCAUGAACAUGCGUGAGUCUCACGCAUUUUUGGCAGCCCUGGCCAAAUAAUUAUGACGUCUUGAAAGGCAAUUAUUUUUUUUUCUUUGACGCCUUACUUCGACGUCGAAGUAAGGCUUCAAAGAAAAAAAUUAUAAUAGCCUUCCAAAACGUCAUAAUUAUUUGGACUAUGGCCUUGAAGG
RNAcentral lists this long non-coding RNA (240 nucleotides) under Mytilus galloprovincialis (Mediterranean mussel). Lineage: Eukaryota; Metazoa; Mollusca; Bivalvia; Mytilida; Mytilidae. The record is from RNAcentral.